UACGGAGGGUGCAAGCGUUAUCCGGAUUCACUGGGUUUAAAGGGUGCGUAGGUGGGUUGGUAAGUCAGUGGUGAAAUCCCCGAGCUUAACUUGGGAACUGCCAUUGAUACUAUCAGUCUUGAAUACCGUGGAGGCUAGCGGAAUAUGUCAUGUAGCGGUGAAAUGCUUAGAUAUGACAUAGAACACCAAUUGCGAAGGCAGCUGGCUACACGAAUAUUGACACUGAGGCACGAAAGCGUGGGGAUCAAACAGG
RNAcentral lists this ribosomal RNA (253 nucleotides) under uncultured bacterium. Its description in RNAcentral is "partial 16S ribosomal RNA". It matches the Rfam family "Bacterial small subunit ribosomal RNA", at positions 524 to 776 of the family's 1533-position model. The record is from RNAcentral.